This 253-nucleotide ribosomal RNA is filed under the name uncultured bacterium. RNAcentral's name for it is "partial 16S ribosomal RNA". It matches the Rfam family "Bacterial small subunit ribosomal RNA", at positions 524 to 776 of the family's 1533-position model. The record is from RNAcentral.
UACGUAGGGUGCAAGCGUUGUCCGGAAUUAUUGGGCGUAAAGAGCUUGUAGGCGGUUUGUCGCGUCUUCUGUUAAAUUUCGGGGCUCAACCCCGAACUUGCAGUGGGUACGGGCAGACUAGAGUGUGGUAGGGGAGACUGGAAUUCCUGGUGUAGCGGUGAAAUGCGCAGAUAUCAGGAGGAACACCAACAGCGAAGGCAGCACUCUGGGCCGGUACUGACGCUGAGGAGCGAAAGCCAGGGGAGCAAACGGG